AUUGAACGCUGGCGGCAUGCCUUACACAUGCAAGUCGAACGGCAGCACGGGUGCUUGCACCUGGUGGCGAGUGGCGAACGGGUGAGUAAUACAUCGGAACAUGUCCUGUAGUGGGGGAUAGCCCGGCGAAAGCCGGAUUAAUACCGCAUUCGAUCUACGGAUGAAAGCGGGGGACCUUCGGGCCUCGCGCUAUAGGGUUGGCCGAUGGCUGAUUAGAUAGUUGGUGGGGUAAAGGCCUACCAAGGCGACGAUCAGUAGCUGGUCUGAGAGGACGACCAGCCACACUGGGACUGAGCCACGGCCCAGACUCCUACGGGAGGCAGCAGUGGGGAAUUUUGGACAAUGGGCGAAAGCCUGAUCCAGCAAUGCCGCGUGUGUGAAGAAGGCCUUCGGGUUGUAAAGCACUUUUGUCCGGAAAGAAAUCCUUGGCCCUAAUACGGUCGGGGGAUGACGGUACCGGAAGAAUAAGCACCGGCUAACUACGUG
Molecule: ribosomal RNA, 486 nt
Filed under: uncultured bacterium
Lineage: Bacteria
Description: partial 16S ribosomal RNA
Rfam family: Bacterial small subunit ribosomal RNA
Source: RNAcentral